GCCGGGUCGAGUCCGGUCCAGUCCGGGCGCUGCGGGCAGCCCCGGGGGCUGCUCAUCCGACUGCAGCCGCUGCUGGAAGGUGAAUUUGCUUUGGAUGAUCUGGGAACUGGUGUAGUCAGAGGUCCUGACUGAUAGCCCCUGAACUAAACUUCUGGGAAAGCACUGACCUUCCACCUGGAGUCCAUUGUUGGCUGUGGAGGUAAGGAAGGACCUCAACCUGACUCUGUGGGAUUUGACCUGGUAAAAGUGCUAGAGUUUUGCCCAG
Molecule: long non-coding RNA, 265 nt
Filed under: Vombatus ursinus (common wombat)
Lineage: Eukaryota; Metazoa; Chordata; Mammalia; Diprotodontia; Vombatidae
Description: lncRNA (ENSVURG00010011358.1)
Source: RNAcentral